Molecule: long non-coding RNA, 513 nt
Organism: Lathyrus oleraceus (garden pea)
Lineage: Eukaryota; Viridiplantae; Streptophyta; Magnoliopsida; Fabales; Fabaceae
Exons: 3
Source: RefSeq, a predicted model, not a curated record
CAUAAGAAAAUGGGGGUAAUUCUUCAGAUUCUACCGUUAAACCAUUGUUGUUUUUUUUUCAUGAAGUCCAUUGUAUAUGGGAAUGUCAGUACUAACUACUCCAUUUUCAUCUGAAUGCUCAAGAGUCGGCGGAACACUUGAAUUAAUAGAUGAUGAAUCGCUGGAUUCUUAAUUGAUUGGCAAAAUAUCUGCCACAGUAACUGGAGGAAAGGUGAAUUUUACUUUGCUGCACCAAUUGCUGCCAAAGACUCCUUGCGGACCGCUGACUAAUAAAGACGACCAGAGGGGCCUUCCCAUUAUCUUUCGGAAACCGGUAGAAGUAAUGACAAGUACAUGAAUGGAUCAAAUGUCACAGAGACCUUCCUACAAACAGGACAAACUACUAUCGACUUAUAUUGGCCUUGGCACACGUCCAUAAUGACUGAAUCGUUGCGAGCCAGAUGACAAUGCCAAUAUGUUGUUUUCACUUCGCUUUGCUUUGUUUUCUUCCACAGAGUGCCAAACAUCCAAAUG